RNAcentral lists this ribosomal RNA (741 nucleotides) under uncultured bacterium. Its description in RNAcentral is "bacterial SSU rRNA". It matches the Rfam family "Bacterial small subunit ribosomal RNA", at positions 565 to 1298 of the family's 1533-position model. The record is from RNAcentral.
GAGCUCGGUACGCGGUUUGUCACGUCGUCUGUGAAAUCCCUCGGCUUAACCGGGGGCGUGCAGACGAUACGGGCAGACUUGAGUACUACAGGGGAGACUGGAAUUCCUGGUGUAGCGGUGAAAUGCGCAAAUUUUCAGGAAGGAACCCCCGGUGGCAAAGGCGGUCUCUCUGGGUAUUAACUGACGCUGAGGAGCGAAAGCAUGGGUAGCGAACAGGAUUAGAUACCCUGGUAGUCCAUGCCGUAAACGGUGGGCGCUAGGUGUGGGGUCCUUCCACGGACUCCGUGCCGUAGUUAACGCAUUAAGCGCCCCGCCUGGGGAGUACGGCCGCAAGGCUAAAACUCAAAGGAAUUGACGGGGGCCCGCACAAGCGGCGGAGCAUGUGGAUUAAUUCGAUGCAACGCGAAGAACCUUACCUAGGCUUGACAUAUACAGGACGACGGCAGAGAUGUCGUUUCCCUUUGUGGCUUGUAUACAGGUGGUGCAUGGUUGUCGUCAGCUCGUGUCGUGAGAUGUUGGGUUUAAGUCCCGCAACGAGCGCAACCCCUGUCUCAUGUUGCCAGCACGUAAUGGUGGGGACUCGUGAGAGACUGCUCGGGGUCAACUCGGAGGAAGGUGGGGAUGACGUCAAAUCAUCAUGCCCCUUAUGUCUAGGGCUUCACACAUGUUACAAUGGCUAGUACAGAGGGCUGCGAUACCGCGAGGUGGAGCGAAUCCCUUAAAGCUGGUCUCAGUUCGGAU